UGUGUGUCCAUGAAGAGCACUGACUCCAAGGACUUCAAUAUUGACUUUAAACAGGAUCGUUCAUCAGAGUCAGCGAUCCACCACAGACCAGAGUCCUCUGGACCUGAUCCUGGACCUGGAUCCAGUUGUGUGUCCCUCAGGAGUGACCGGUCCAGCAUGGAACCACCAGAUUUUUCCACAGAGACGUAAGUUUGAUGUAAAUGUCCGAUGUGUCGACUGCUUAUUAAAUCGAUAUUAAACAUUGACUUUAGUUGAAAGUUUAGAACGUGUUCAUUUUCAGCUGAUUCUUCACAUCAUUGAGUCUGUUUCCAUGAC
Molecule: long non-coding RNA, 315 nt
Organism: Sphaeramia orbicularis (orbiculate cardinalfish)
Lineage: Eukaryota; Metazoa; Chordata; Actinopteri; Kurtiformes; Apogonidae
Exons: 2
Source: RefSeq, a predicted model, not a curated record